UUGUACCUACGGGAGGCAGCAGUGAGGAAUAUUGGUCAAUGGGCGGAAGCCUGAACCAGCCAAGUCGCGUGAGGGAAUAAGGCCCUAUGGGUUGUAAACCUCUUUUGUCGGGGAGCAAAAGCCGGACGUGUCCGGCUGUGAGAGUACCCGAAGAAAAAGCAUCGGCUAACUCCGUGCCAGCAGCCGCGGUAAUACGGAGGAUGCGAGCGUUAUCCGGAUUUAUUGGGUUUAAAGGGUGCGCAGGCGGAUUUUUAAGUCAGCGGUCAAAUCGUGGGGCUCAACCCCAUCCAGCCGUUGAAACUGGG
Molecule: ribosomal RNA, 305 nt
Filed under: uncultured bacterium
Lineage: Bacteria
Description: bacterial SSU rRNA
Rfam family: Bacterial small subunit ribosomal RNA
Source: RNAcentral